CCUACGGGGGGCUGCAGUGGGGAAUAUUGCGCAAUGGGCGAAAGCCUGACGCAGCGACGCCGCGUGAGGGAUGAAGGUCUUCGGAUCGUAAACCUCUGUCAGCAGGGAAGAACGGUCACUGUGCUAAUCAGCAGUGAAUUGACGGUACCUGCAAAGGAAGCACCGGCUAACUCCGUGCCAGCAGCCGCGGGAAUACGGAGGGUGCGAGCGUUAAUCGGAAUUACUGGGCGUAAAGCUCUCAUAGGCGGUAUGAAAAGUCAAGGGUAAAAUCCCCGCGCACAACGUGGGAACUGCCUUUGAAUGGGGAAAACUGGAGUGUGUGAGGAUAGUGGAAUUCCAGGUGUAGGAGUGAAAUCCGUAGAUAUCUGGAGGAACAUCAGUGGCGAAGGCGACUAUCUGGCACAUAACUGACGCUGAGGAGCGAAAGCGUGGGUAGCAAACAGGAUUAGAUACCCCUGUAGUC
This 463-nucleotide ribosomal RNA is filed under the name uncultured bacterium. RNAcentral describes it as "partial 16S ribosomal RNA". It matches the Rfam family "Bacterial small subunit ribosomal RNA", at positions 338 to 795 of the family's 1533-position model. The record is from RNAcentral.